AUCGCUUCUUGGCCUUUUGGCUAAGAUCAAGUGUAGUAUCUGUUCUUAUCAGUUUAAUAAAAGUUAGUGCCCGAGACAGUGAGCAAGCAAACACAUAUGCAAUAUCCUCCUAGAGCAGCGGUUCUCAACCUGUGGGUCGCGACCCCUUUGGGGGUCGAAUGACCCUUUCACAGGGGUCACCUAAG
Molecule: small nuclear RNA, 185 nt
Filed under: Myotis davidii
Lineage: Eukaryota; Metazoa; Chordata; Mammalia; Chiroptera; Vespertilionidae
Description: U2 spliceosomal RNA
Rfam family: U2 spliceosomal RNA
About the family: U2 is a small nuclear RNA (snRNA) component of the spliceosome (involved in pre-mRNA splicing). Complementary binding between U2 snRNA (in an area lying towards the 5' end but 3' to hairpin I) and the branchpoint sequence (BPS) of the intron results the bulging out of an unpaired adenosine, on the BPS, which initiates a nucleophilic attack at the intronic 5' splice site, thus starting the first of two transesterification reactions that mediate splicing.
Source: Rfam by way of RNAcentral